RNAcentral lists this ribosomal RNA (367 nucleotides) under uncultured eukaryote. RNAcentral's name for it is "SSU rRNA". It matches the Rfam family "Eukaryotic small subunit ribosomal RNA", at positions 587 to 955 of the family's 1831-position model. The record is from RNAcentral.
AGCUCCAAUAGCGUAUAUUAAAGUUGUUGCAGUUAAAAAGCUCGUAGUCGGAUUUCGGGGUGUCUCGCCUGGUCUGCCGAAAGGUAAGCACUGGGUGUCGCGCUCUUCCUUCUGGAGACGGCUUCUACUCUUAACUGAGCGGAGGUCGGAAACAGGACGUUUACUUUGAAAAAAUCAGAGUGCUCAAAGCAGGCCAAGAUUGCUCUUGCAUGGAUUAGCAUGGGAUAAUGAAAUAGGACUUUGGUGCUAUUUUGUUGGUUUCGAACACUGAAGUAAUGAUUAAAAGGGACAGUCAGGGGGCACUUGUAUUCCGUUGAGAGAGGUGAAAUUCUUAGACCAAUGGAAGACAAACUUCUGCGAAAGCAUU